UACGUAGGGGGCAAGCGUUGUCCGGAUUUAUUGGGCGUAAAGAGCGUGUAGGCGGUUCGGUAGGUCCGUUGUGAAAACUCGAGGCUCAACCUCGAGACGCCGAUGGAAACCAUCGAACUAGAGUCCGGAAGAGGAGAAUGGAAUUCCCGGUGUAGCGGUGAAAUGCGCAGAUAUCGGGAAGAACACCCGUGGCGAAGGCGGUUCUCUGGGACGGUACUGACGCUGAGACGCGAAAGCGUGGGGAGCGAACAGG
RNAcentral lists this ribosomal RNA (253 nucleotides) under uncultured bacterium. RNAcentral describes it as "partial 16S ribosomal RNA". It matches the Rfam family "Bacterial small subunit ribosomal RNA", at positions 524 to 776 of the family's 1533-position model. The record is from RNAcentral.